Molecule: non-coding RNA, 462 nt
Organism: Mauremys mutica (yellowpond turtle)
Lineage: Eukaryota; Metazoa; Chordata; Testudines; Geoemydidae
Source: the annotation of a RefSeq genome assembly
AUGAGACUUUGGCUCCACCUAAUUUUCAUUGUAGCGGCUUUCGAAGGUGUCCGGUCCCAGGUGCAGCUGGUGGAGUCCGGAGGGGAUGUGAAAAAGCCCGGAGACUCUCUCCGCCUCUCCUGCAAAGCCUCCGGGUUUACCUUCAGCAGCUACGAUAUGCACUGGGUCCGCCAGGCUCCCGGGAAAGGGCUGGAGUGGGUCUCGGUUAUCAGCAGCAGCGGGGGUACUAUCUACUACUCCGACGCAGUGAAGGGCCGAUUCACCAUCUCCAGGGACAAUCCCAGCAACCUGCUGUACCUGCAAAUGACCGGCCUGAAGCCCGAGGACACCGCCCGCUAUUACUGUGCCAAAAACCUCCCGUGGCGGUUACCAGAGAAAGUCCCAGCUGGUUUGAUGCUGACAGGCCGCGCUGGGAGCUCACAGGAGACAAUAAUUCCCUCCCCUUUGAAAUGGGGGAAAUGA